UACGAAGGGGACUAGCGUUGUUCGGAAUCACUGGGCGUAAAGCGCACGUAGGCGGAUUCGUAAGUCAGGGGUGAAAUCCCGGGGCUCGACCUCGGAACUGCCUUUGAUACUGCGGGUCUUGAGUCCGAUAGAGGUGGGUGGAAUUCCUAGUGUAGAGGUGAAAUUCGUAGAUAUUAGGAAGAACACCGGUGGCGAAGGCGGCCCACUGGAUCGGUACUGACGCUGAGGUGCGAAAGCGUGGGGAGCAAACAGG
This 253-nucleotide ribosomal RNA is filed under the name uncultured bacterium. Its description in RNAcentral is "partial 16S ribosomal RNA". It matches the Rfam family "Bacterial small subunit ribosomal RNA", at positions 524 to 776 of the family's 1533-position model. The record is from RNAcentral.